Brassica napus (rape) is the source of this 555-nucleotide long non-coding RNA. RefSeq lists it as uncharacterized. NCBI's taxonomy places the organism in Eukaryota, Viridiplantae, Streptophyta, Magnoliopsida, Brassicales, Brassicaceae. The transcript has 3 exons. The record is from RefSeq and is a predicted model, not a curated record.
CCAAACCUCUCCUCCACCCAGUCAUUUUUGGACAGCUGUCUCUUCCCUUGCGGAGCUUGAUUAAGAGACGUGUCUUUUCCUUUUAUCUAUUUUUCAUUUUUUUUUUAAUUCCAAUUAGGCUAAGAUACAUGUUAAGAGACUGCAAUAAUGCUGCUUUCACUUAUAGGAAUCAAGCAAGACUAUUCAAAUAGAAGCUUUCCGUGUUUUCAAGCUGUUUGUUGCAAACCAAAAGAAGCCCUCAGACAUCAUCAACGGUCUGGUGGCAAACAGAAACAAGCUUCUAAGAUUGUUGGCUGAUCACAAACUUGACAAAGAGGACGAGAACUUUGAAGCAGAUAAAGCUCAUGUGGUGAGCGGGAUCGCAAGCCUUAAGCCCGGAGAUCUUGCUUGAGCACGCACAUGUACACAGAGAAGCCCAUACCUUCUAUCUCUGUGUCUAAGCUAUUGAGUAUUGACUUGCCUGGCUCGUUUAAGAUUAUAUAAAAUCCACAUGUAGUGUCGAUAAAAUAAAAUUGCAUUAUUAUUUCAGAAGGGAAAAUAGAGGCAAAAGCCGCU